This is an RNA transcript of Manihot esculenta (cassava), 3369 nucleotides long. It is a transcript of the gene named UPF0235 protein At5g63440, with no coding region annotated. The record is from RefSeq and is a predicted model, not a curated record. The transcript has 9 exons. Lineage: Eukaryota; Viridiplantae; Streptophyta; Magnoliopsida; Malpighiales; Euphorbiaceae.
UUUAAUUGUUGAUCAGUUGAAUAUCGAGCUGAUCCAUGUACAAACGUUAGAAAUCUUAUAGUAAAACAUACCUCUCUGUUCAUGAGAGAGCAGCCUAUUUGGUGGCUGCCAUUGACAUUUCUCUUCCGUGGGGAAUUAUCAGCCUUUCUUCUAAUACUAGAGAUUUUUUCCGUCUUUAAAAUGUGAAAUUCCAUUGCUACCUUUAAUUUGGGAUAGAUGCCUUUCAAUUGCUUUGUUUUUGGCUUUGAUUCUCGACUCUGCUAUUGCCAAUUGAUUAUGAACGGAGGAUAAAGCUAAACAAAUGGAUUAUGAAGCAUACUUGUGAAUCAUAAGUUGAAGCUCAAAAGCUCUUUGACAAGAAAAAAAAGAAAAGCUCAAAAGCCAAAUGAGCGUAUGUAAUCGCUUAGCAUCUUAACGUGACGUCAUUUUGUGCCCGAGAAAAACAAGAGGACGUUAAUCAACCAGAGACUAAUCCAGAAGCAUCAGUAAUUUUAAUCUCCACCAAAAAAUAAAAAAGAAAAGGGAGCUGCGGCUAUGUACUAUCUAAGGUUGCCGUUGAAUUCCGCCUGCAGACGUGACAUUGUUUUCACAAUUUUUUUAAUUUUUUUUAAACGGCGAGGACUAGAAAUGUUGUUCUCUUCUUGGCUUCCGAGUUCGACAGAGUCUAGCAAAGCAUUCUGAGCUUCUGCGGCCCGAAAACAGAGGAAGAUGCCGAAGAGAACGACGCACACGUACUCGAGCGAGGACGCAGCUCCUGAUGGUCCAGACUCUGAUCUCUUCGUCUAUUACUGCAAGCAUUGUGGCUCUCACGUCCUUAUUACCGAUACCCAAUUGCAGAAAAUGCCAAAAAGGAAGACUGACAAAGCAUAUGUAUUGGAUAAGAGGAAGCAUCUUGCAAGAUUGAACAUAAAUGAGGCCGGGAAAAUUCUCUUGAAACGGGGUGAAGGGAAAUUGGAGAAGCAAUUUCGUAUGAACUGUAUGGGUUGUAACCUUUUUGUUUGUUAUCGUGCGGAAGAAGAUCUGGAAGCUGCUUCUUUUAUAUAUGUUAUUGAUGGAGCACUUAGUACAAUCGCUGCUGAAACAAAUCCUCAGGAUGCUCCUGUUCCACCGUGUAUAUCACAGUUAGAAGGAGGACUUGUUCAAGUAGCUAUUGAAGUGGAAGAUCGUGCUCAACGCUCAGCAAUAACUAGAGUCAAUGCUGAUGAUGUUCGAGUAACUGUAGCUGCACCUGCAGCCCGUGGGGAAGCUAACAAUGAACUUUUGGAAUUCAUGGGCAAAGUGUUGGGUCUAAGACUGAGCCAGAUGACUCUUCAAAGGGGAUGGAAUAACAAAUCAAAACUCCUCGUUGUGGAGGAUUUGUCUGCUAGAGAGGUUUACGAGAAACUUCUGGAAGCUGUACAGCCUUGAAGCUGGCGCUCAAUGGAUAAGGACGUAUAUCAAUGUUUCAGAUUCGAUAAAUGAGCUGCAAGUGAUUAGACAAUCAAAUACUGAUCAAAUUGAAACUCUUAGUUUGAACCUGAUGUUAAGUGGAUUACUGGUCAGCAAAGUGAAAUUGCAUUACCUGUAAUUGCAUAAAGUGAGAACAGUAACAGAGAUUCAACCAUGAUUUCCAUUUCCACGGCGUUGCUUGAAGGAAGUUCGGUUCGAGCAAGUCUUGGAGAAACCAACAAUGCUUGUAGAAUAUACAAUCAGUGGAGAGAUUUCAUUUUGGAAGAGAAGCUAUAUAGAAGAUAUUGCCAUCUUUUAACUUUCAGUAAAAACACCUCGAGGCUCCAGAAAGAUGUGCGCAAAACACCCUGAAGUUUAUGAGAAACGAUUCACAGAGAAAACUGGGACCACUCUCCUUCAAGGUCCACUAAGGAUAAGCCUGAAGAAAAAGCUCAUUAAUCUCAUCGCUCAUGUUAACAGGCGAAUAUGGGGAAAAAGCCGUCAAUUACGCCCAGUAAAGUUGACCAGAACUAAGGUAAUGCAGGCAAGGUUCAGUGGCUUUAGGUGGUGAUUUUUUUUUUAAAAUCAAUUAAAUAUUUUAAGUAGUUAAAAGUUCUGAUUUGAAAUAAAUCAAAUCACAUGCUCAUAUUUGGCUGAAGAUACUAAGAAAAAUACUGCAGAAUUAGCGUAUUGAGAAGUAAAAACCCUAGAAAUACAGGCCUUUGCGGGGCCUUCGGACAGGUAACCACUAGUGAAGUUUAGAACUUUUUGAGCUUUUUACAUUAACCUAGGCCCGUAACGACCAUCGGAGAAUCCUUUCGCCAAGUGUCAUUUAAACAAGGGUGUUUACGUCAUUUACUCACCAGAUUAUAGAUAGGGAAAAAUCCGCAAAGAAAACCAGAGUUGGCUCCAUGCUGAGACAAUUUUCAACUGAAACAGAAACAAAUGUAGAAAGCGUAGAAUCACCUACCAGGCUUUUUUGUCUCUUCUUGUAUGAAUUCUUGUAUUUGAAUUCCUCUUAACAUUAUAGAUAUUUAUGUUGAGAUCUCCGUUCACUUUUGGUUGGAUUAGUGAUAUGAGUAGCUACUGUCGAAAAAUCCAAAACCACAAGAGCUUAUUAGCUUUGGGCGCUCUUUCUACGUAUUUUGUUCACCACGUGUUUGUUGUUUUAUCUACUUUGUACCAGGCUUGCGAGUCAGGGUCGAGUUUUCUGACGCUAGGGUUUCUGACCUCUGUUUCAAAUUGAAAUUUUAAUAAUUAAUAAAUUUUUAGCCAUAUAGUUUUAGUUUUACCGCCGAAUUGUGAAAAUUUUCUCUAAAAGGUAGUAUUUAUUAACACUUUAACAUUAGUAGUGGAAAGCAUAAAACCAAACUGAAAGUUGAUUGUCAAUGGCCGAAUCAAAACUUAUGGGGUCUGUUGAUGUAUGAAGACCGACAUAGCAAAAUCACAGCUUUCUUAAGAAGCCAAGAAUAAUAAAGCUUUUCUGGAUCGAGUCGUUUCAGAUGCAAGGAGUAGUCGGGACUCUUCCUGCAGGGAUGCGAUUUCCCUUUUGGGUAAGACUAUUGGUCCUUAUUAAAUCUUCCAUUAUGGGUAAUCUACUGUGUCUCUACUGCAGGGCAUUGGAAAAACUCUCAAAUGGGUCCCGGCCGGUGUUAAAUCCAGCUUCGUCAAACACGUGCCUGUGGCUCGUAUGCAUAGGACCAUUCAGCAAUAAAUAUAAAGUUGGCAGCACCUUGAAUCCUCUAGAAAUUCUGUCCCCACACGGGCAUGGUAGUCUAUAUCAACUCCAGCCAGUUUCUAGGCGUUGGGGUAUGAACUCUCUCUUAUUUGGUAACCGACCUAUGUCUCCCUUGUUUUCAUGCAAUCCCGAGGGAUGUCACUAGUCGUUAGCAUUGAUUGAACUAUGGCACCACAGCAAUAAAUGUAGCUUGUCAUUUUCUA